RNAcentral lists this ribosomal RNA (250 nucleotides) under uncultured bacterium. RNAcentral's name for it is "partial 16S ribosomal RNA". It matches the Rfam family "Bacterial small subunit ribosomal RNA", at positions 524 to 773 of the family's 1533-position model. The record is from RNAcentral.
UACGUAGGUGGCAAGCGUUGUCCGGAAUUACUGGGUGUAAAGGGAGCGUAGGCGGGGGUUUAAGUUGGAUGUGAAAUACCGCAGCUCAACUGCGGGGCUGCAUCCAAAACUGGAUCUCUUGAGUGAAGUAGAGGCAAGCGGAAUUCCUAGUGUAGCGGUGAAAUGCGUAGAUAUUAGGAGGAACACCAGUGGCGAAGGCGGCUUGCUGGGCUUUUACUGACGCUGAUGCUCGAAAGCGUGGGGAGCAAAC